AACUGCGAAUGGCUCAUUAAAUCAGUUAUCGUUUAUUUGAUAGUACCUUACUACUUGGAUAACCGUGGUAAUUCUAGAGCUAAUACAUGCUAAAAACCCCAACUUCGGAAGGGGUGUAUUUAUUAGAUAAAAAACCAAUGCCCUUCGGGGCUCCNUUGGUGAUUCAUGAUAACUUAACGAAUCGCAUGGCCUUGCGCCGGCGAUGGUUCAUUCAAAUUUCUGCCCUAUCAACUUUCGAUGGUAGGAUAGUGGCCUACCAUGGUAUCAACGGGUAACGGGGAAUUAGGGUUCUAUUCCGGAGAGGGAGCCUGAGAAACGGCUACCACAUCCAAGGAAGGCAGCAGGCGCGCAAAUUACCCAAUCCCGACACGGGGAGGUAGUGACAAUAAAUACUGAUACAGGGCUCUUUUGGGUCUUGUAAUUGGAAUGAGUACAAUUUAAAUACCUUAACGAGGAACAAUUGGAGGGCAAGUCUGGUGCCAGCAGCCGCGGUAAUUCCAGCUCCAAUAGCGUAUAUUAAAGUUGUUGCAGUUAAAAAGCUCGUAGUUGAACCUUGGGCCUGGCUGGCCGGUCCGCCUCACCGCGUGUACUGGUCCGGCCGGGCCUUUCCUUCUGGGGAUCCGCAUGCCCUUCACUGGGUGUGUCGGGGAACCAGGACUUUUACUUUGAAAAAAUUAGAGUGUUCAAAGCAGGCCUUUGCUCGAAUACAUUAGCAUGGAAUAAUAGAAUAGGACGUGCGGUCCUAUUUUGUUGGUUUCUAGGACCGCCGUAAUGAUUAAUAGGGAUAGUCGGGGGCAUCAGUAUUCAAUUGUCAGAGGUGAAAUUCUUGGAUUUAUUGAAGACUAACUACUGCGAAAGCAUUUGCCAAGGAUGUUUUCAUUAAUCAGUGAACGAAAGUUAGGGGAUCGAAGACGAUCAGAUACCGUCGUAGUCUUAACCGUAAACUAUGCCGACUAGGGAUCGGGCGAUGUUAUUCU
RNAcentral lists this ribosomal RNA (977 nucleotides) under Dothiorella sarmentorum. RNAcentral describes it as "SSU rRNA". It matches the Rfam family "Eukaryotic small subunit ribosomal RNA", at positions 85 to 1069 of the family's 1831-position model. Lineage: Eukaryota; Fungi; Ascomycota; Dothideomycetes; Botryosphaeriales; Botryosphaeriaceae. The record is from RNAcentral.